AGCUGCUAUUCCAGCUCAAUCACACUGAAAGAACCCCCAUUGGAGUGAUCAUCCCAGGUCCAGCAUCGAGAAGGGUCUAGGUGCUCUACAGCCAUGUGCCUUUGGAAAGGAAAGCAGGCCUAGAAGUCUAGCAGCUGGUUCAGUAGUACGUGGAUACCAAGAGCUGAAGUGAACAUAUCAGAUAACUAUUUUGGGAUGGAAGAUUCCAGAAGACUCCACAAAACCAUUGCUUUGAUUCCUAUAUGAUUUCUAUGAAGAAGUACUAGGAAAAUGGAGUUUCCUUUGAAAUACCAUAGGAACCAGUUCAAAGACUUCUGGGGUACACUGGAAUGGUUGCAUGUGGUACCAAAUUACCAAGGGAUAUCAGAUGCUGCUGAGGCAAUCUUGUGAAAGCUCUGGCAUCCCAACAUAUUCCAGGACUGUGAGACAUUCAAGGCCCAAUCCUAAAAAGGGAUGAGAAGAGGUCAACCCCUUGCAGGAUUAGGAAGUCAGUGUCCAGGAGAAGGAUUGUCUUUUAAUCAUUUGGAGAAUCCUCUGUAUCACUGCCUUUAUUUCACCAUUAAAAUCUCCUCCCUCUCAGGCUCAGCCACCUAGCUACUGUCCUCCCAUUCAAGAAGUAUUGAAAUUUAUCAAUAAACUUCUAUUCCUCAAUGAGUUGGAGAGGAUGUUCCUGUACCAGAUAAUCCUUUAUUACACUGUGCUAUAUUUUCUCAGCUGCUGGAGAAACACCCUAAAAAGGUGACCAUUCUGGAGAAGUACUGAAAUUACACAAGACAGACAGUCCAGUUAAAACAAUAGUAGUCUUUCCACAGAUUUCAAUGGCCAUUGGAUCAGGCCUCUAAAGUAGUAAUUGUAAUGGAGUUGGCAGCAGGAAUACAGUGGUUUGACAUCCUUCGAACAAUGGCAAUUCAAGCAGGAUGCCUCAACUAGCCCUACUUGAACCAGCCACUGGUUUGACGUUCCAAAUAACUGGUAUCAGAAAUGAAAAUAUGUAUAAUGCAAUCUCCAUAGCUGUGUGUUAAACAAGUGCUGCAAAAUAUCGCUCCUUUGUAUGAUACAACACAAUUAUAUGUGACAGGAGAAAUAUAGGGCCUGAAGUGUAUGGGUGUCCGUUACCUACUGGGGUAAGUAGAGUAAGGUAGCAUUCAAUCAACAACAAAACACCAAUACCCUUAGUCAGUAAGGGACUGUAGUGCUGAAUGGCCAUGGCCACAUUGCAUACCUUUAUU
This is a long non-coding RNA of Dermochelys coriacea (leatherback sea turtle), 1229 nucleotides long. RefSeq lists it as uncharacterized. The transcript is spliced from 5 exons. NCBI's taxonomy places the organism in Eukaryota, Metazoa, Chordata, Testudines, Dermochelyidae. The record is from RefSeq and is a predicted model, not a curated record.